This 6322-nucleotide long non-coding RNA is filed under the name Solanum lycopersicum (tomato). Its description in RNAcentral is "long non-coding RNA (SLYC_LNC000525)". The record is from RNAcentral. Lineage: Eukaryota; Viridiplantae; Streptophyta; Magnoliopsida; Solanales; Solanaceae.
AAAAAAAUAAAAGACGCUUGUUUCUAAGAAUAGAGUCUUGAGUAAGAAAACCCUAGUAGCAUCUGUUUGGCAGCAAUCUCAGCAUAGUUCAGAGCUCUCAGCAUUUAAUCUGUGUAUUCUCAAAACAAAGAAAGCACAUGUGUAACUAGAAACGAUCUCAACUAUAUCUCUAUUUUCUACGUUACUCGAAUAUGUUGCUUAAAUAUCAGGUAUGCCCACCUGCUCGAGCUGAUUUUUUCCGUCUCUAAGUAUGAUAUGUUGUUUGUUUUGUGCAAUUUAUACCUUUGCUUGUUGAUAUAUUCCUUUUCUUUUGAACUAGCUGGUCGUUCUUUUAAAUAUGAAAGUUUGUGGUAUGAUAAGAUCCAAACUAAGAAUGGGAUUAUUCCUAAGAGAAUAGUGCGUUUCUAAUUGUUCUGGAAACAGAGGUACUCGAAGCUAAAUGAACUAAAAUAGUGUUUGAGAGACUACAGAGAGAGAGAGAGAGAGAGUUGUAUUAAACAUGAAUUACAAGUGAAGUAUUUUUCUGAUUUUUAGUCGAGCAGUGAUAGAAAGUAGUUGCAGUUGUUCAACUGAUCCAUGUGCGGCAUCACGUGCCACUAGUUCCUAACAACUUUCUAUCUAGCUAAAAAAUUGCAGUUGCUAUUGCACUAUUCUGAAGUUAUCUAAUAUAAAUAGAUCAUAUCAUAGUGUAUUGUGUAUGUCUAAAGAAUCAAUUAUAUUUUACAAUCAAAUUCUUCCGUUCUUGUCUAACUGAAACUAUGUUUACUGUCUACUAUAAUCUUAGGUAUGCCGCCUCUUUCGCAAGUUUUAUUAAGUUUCAUCUCUAAUUCUGCUUGUUUGGUUUCUUUGUAUACUAUUGUUGCUAAUGUUCUGAUAGUUGCUAGAGUGGUACUAAAAUUGAGAAAUCUAUCGUGAAUAACAACUGAAUCUGGGUGUAGCUCGUCGCACCAGACUUGCCUAGUGCGGGUUACCUCUCCUAUGUGGUUUGCCAGCUAUUGCAUAGGAGCGGGUGUUUUACCAUGUGCGCACCCAAAGGGUAGCGACCGUGGAUUUUCCUUGUCAUUAAAAAAAAACAACUCAACAAUUGUUCAACAUUUACGGCAAAUAGAGCAGGCGGAAAGAGUUGUUGUAGUUGUUAAAACUGAUCCACAUGGGUAGUAACGUGCCAUUAAAUCCUGAGAGAUUUCUAUCUAACUAAAAUAAAUUAGGAAUUUCAAUCAUUAAUUUCAUUUAUUGCUUGAUGGCAUGAAGUUUCAUUUCUAGCCGCUUUCUUUGUAUUUGGUGUGGCUCAGCCUCUCCGGGGAAAAUUAAAUAUAUUAAGUGGGCAGUCAUAUUAUUUAAUGAUAAGCAUAUAUAUAAAAACAUAUAGCAAAGACAAGAAUGAGAAACUCUUUUUCUAGUACAUUUAUUAUGCCUUAUAGUUUGUCAACAAACCUCUGGAACAAUUUAACCUCCUCUUCUUCCUCAUAAUCGUGGAGUUCUGCUAUUUCGAGCAUCUAACAAGAACAGAAUAUUGUAGUAAGAAAAUGGGAGCAGGAAAUAGGAAAAAAAACAGGAAAAUAUAAGAGGUUAGUAACUGAAGAAUGUAGUUUAAAGCACAACAACACCCAUAUUGCUUCUGUGGAAAUUUCUUCACUUUCCUCCACAAGAGUUUGUAUUGUCUCUAGUUUCUUUUGGAGCAUGAUAAUUCCUCUAUGGAGGUCUUCCUACUCACUAGUAACACCAUUCAGAUUUCUCUAUUAUUAUUCACUUAUGCUCCUUUUGCUAACAAUAUCAUCAUACUUGGUAAUAUCAAUCUGUAAGUUCUCACUGUAACAGCGCUAAACAUCAUAAUUAUCCUAAAUAUAUAAUUAAUUAUUUGAUUAAUAAGAUGGAGGGGUAUUUUGGGGAGAGAGGACCGACAUUGGGCUCUUGAAGUGAAGUCUUGCUCCACCUAAGUUCAAACCUAGGUGCAACCAAUGAAUUAAAGUGGUUUUUUAUUUAAGCUAUUGAAUUAAUGUAAUUAAUUAAUAAUGAUUAUUCAUUAUCUGAUUUAAAGUAAAAUAAAAAUCAAAUUUUUAUUAAAUAAACAAAACCUUAUUGACUAAGUUCUAAAACUAGACUCCUAAGCCUCCUAGAACUCCCACUCUCUCACGUUUAUCUCUCCACUCUCACGCUCAAUCUCUCUUAUUCUUUCUCACAUUUUUUCUCUGCCAAAAUAAUAUACAAAAGCAGAAAAAAACCAAGUUCUUCACCCUAGAAGAACUCACACGAAAUAAUAAGAAAACAAACGUUAAUCUCACACUAGGCUAAGGGAGGUUGUCAUUCGAGAGGAGUUGAUAUUGAGGAGGCCUAAACGUGUGCUUGGGUGAAGUUUUUGGGAAGCAGGUCAAGAUUUUAACGUCAAAAAGGUAUGGGUUCUCUUCCCUCUUGGUCGCUUUCCAAAGACACCCCUUAAGGUUCAGACGAAUCUAUUCCAAAAACUAGGAUUGUUCCCCGUUGCAUGUCCCUGUCACUAGCUCCCAUUGAAUCAUAGGUUGGUUAUGUUUGCUGGUAGAAAACUAGGGAUGAAACGUGUUUUCAUGAUGACUAUGUGUUUAUAUGUAUGUUUAGAAUUAUGUGACUUAUGUUGAUGUUUCCAAAAAUAUAAUUAUGUGUGUAUGUGUGUGUUGUCGUGGCUAUUGUUCAUGGUUUAGGACUUGAAAUUGCAUGAUAGUUCUUUAUAUUUCAUGUACACAUGUUGAUGUAAAUGUGAUGUUCAUAUGGGUUGAACUGUGGCUGAUUUGAGGGAUAAUCGCUUGUCUAAACGAAUCCAUCAAAACACACCAAAUACGUUCUAAAUGCACUACGAAAUUCCCCUAAGAACUAAGGUGUAAUUUGAUGAAAGGAUGCUGAAAAAUUAAAAGAAAACUUGCAGCUUCUAAAGAUGAAUUUCGGUCAGCAAAGAGGGUUCAAAAUGUUGAAAAAAAUGAAUUAAAACAAGUGAGGUCAUGGAGGAUUGAACUCGUGACCUCACCAUGUUAAAAACCAUGAAAAUAAAGAAGUUAAAAUAAAUGUGCUGAAUGGGAUUCGAACCAUGGUAUUAGCUUGAAAAUGUAAGUUAAAACAAAAAAAUAAGAAAUAAGAGGAGUGAGAUUCGAAUCCACUACCUCUUAAUCAGAUUUAAAGAGGAGAAUAAAAGAAAAAUAAAGGGGGAGGCAUGUGGGAAUCGAACCCACGACCUUUAAGGAAGAUUAAGGAGGAGAAUAAAAAAAAUCUAAAGGGGGAGGCGUGUGGGAAUUGAACCCACAACCUCUUAGGCAGAUUAAGGAGGUGAAUAAAAGUAAAAUCAAGGGGGAGGCUUGUGGGAAUCGAACGCACGACCUCUUAGGCAGAUUUAAGGAGGAGAAUAAAAGAAAAAUAAAGGGGGAGGCGUGUGGAAAUCUAACCCACGACCUCUUAAUUAGAUUUAAGGAGGAGAAUAAAAGAAAAAUAAAGAGAGGUUGUUGGGCUUUUAUCCCAUAACCUCAUAGACAACUCGAAAUAGACAAGGAGAAAUAGAUAAAAAAUAAAUAAAUAAAAGGGGAUGUGGGGCUUUGAUCCCACAACCCCUCGGCCAAGAUAAAGAAUUUUCAAAUGAUAGAACUAAAAAGGAAAUAGUGAUGUUAGGGCUCGAUCUAGGGUCCCAAUGACACGUGGAUUAGAAUAAAUAAAAAGAAAAAUGUAAAGUGUUAUCCAAGGGAUUUUAAAUUGGGUUCCCUUGCCCGAAUUCCGUACAUGAAUUAAAUAUUCAAGAAUAAUGCUGCCUACUGAGAUCGAAAUUGAGAUCUUGGCAUAAAUACAAGAUGCAUAAGUCUUGUACUACAUAAUCUUCGAAGAUAUGAAUUAUUUAAACAAACGAUGAAUGAAGCCUCAUGACUUGUAUGUAUAGACCCAUAAGUCUAGCAUACGUUUAAAAUAAGUCAACCUAAGAUGUAUGUAAUGAAAUGAUGUAACCCUAGAAGGGUUAAGUAAGAGGGUAACACACUAAAUGUCCAUGUCCGUUGGCACAUAAUGAAAUGAACAAUGAAAUGAUGAAAUGAACAAAGAAAUGAUGAAAUGAACAAUGUAAUUAUGAAACCCUAUAAGGGUUAAGUAUGAGUGUGAAACACACUAAAUGUCCAAUUGCAUUGGCAUAUGAUGAAAUGAACAUUCACGUAAAAUGGGGUGCGUAAUUAUGAAGAGAAAAUUUACUAAUGUUAAUGAACGUGGUGACAACAUGAUAUGAGGCUUAUGUGAAAGAUGAGAGCAAUCUUAAAUGAUCCUAAGUAAAUGUUACCAAAACGUACUCACCUAUGAGAGUGUAAAGUUAAUGAAGAGACUUGUCUCUAUGAACACUCUAAUGAAAGUAUUGAGAUUAACACAUUGAAUACUAAUGAUGAGAUGAGAAAUCAUCUAUUGAGAUAUGAUGUUCUCAUACUAGAAGCCAACUUCCGUGACGUAUGCGUUAAAUAUAAUGAAACUUUAUAAUGAGAAUCGAUAGACUAGCUAUGAGCGGUGCUUCCUUCUUUCGGAAGGGCGGAGGUUCAUGUAACUCUCAUUAGAUCAGACUGUCCGGUAUGUCGGGUAUAGGUCUCCUUAUAUCUCCUAGUAUUCGAACCUAUACUGCCAAUAUAGGGAUCUGGCGGGGUUCAAUCCCCAUGUACGCUAGCAUGUUUUGGGUAACUUUGGCUGGUGAUUCCACCUUUUUCGGUGUGAGGUUUCAUGACACUGGAUUUCAUGAUGCUCACAUGAUCUUUUGGGUUAAAGUUAAAGUUUAUAAUGAAUGAAUGAGGUCAGCCUCAAAUGAUGCACAUAACAAAAUGAGCGAUACCAAAGGUGUUAGGAUAGGAUAAUCAAAAGGUGAGUUAGAUUCAAGUAAUGACAUUAGGUCAUUCUUCACCAUUGCACAACGAACCCGAUGAAAGGCUUAAACUACAUCCUAGGUAUAGCUUGUGUUUACUCUGGCCCAUAAAUGAAAUAAAAUGAAGUACGUAUGAAUGAACAAUACAUUAAGAUUCCGGUAAACAUUCAAGUGUUCUUCUUGCUACUUUGCCAUUUUGAUUUUGUUCGAGUAAAAGUUGGAUCAACUUGUUUGCAUUGCUACCAUUCCUAAUCUAUUUAACCGGUUAGUAUUCGGAAUUAGCAUUUACAUUAUUUUUUAUAUUCGUACAUUUGUGUGAGCUCAUUGUUCUAUUCUUUUGUUAUGUAUAAGUUGUUAAACAAUUGCAUAUUGUCUCACCUUGAGUAAUAAAUGUGAUUACUUGUGUAGUUAUUUGAUUGCUUUAACAGGUUUCAAACUUGAAAUUCAAGUUGAAGAUGAACCAUGAAGAAAGAUUUAUUUGUUUAUUUGAAUCUAAAUUUUUUUUCUUAUUUUAUUUAUUCUAAUGUUGUAAUAUUUGUAACUCUAGAGCUCUCAUAUAUAAAUUUAUUUGGAGAUCGUCUAUGGGAGGGGGAUUUACAUGCCUACUUGUUCAUUGUAAUUUUUUUUAAAAAAGUUAGAAAUCAUGCCUAUAGGUUUAUCUUUAACCACCUAGAAUUAUUGUUUGUAGGUGUUAUAAUCUAACCAAUUUUCAAUUUGUCUGGCGCUUUUGUUAAUAAGUCUUAAAAAAAAUUAAUAACUAGAUUCCAUUAAUUUUGAAUGUUAAAAUCAAAUCAUAAUAAUUUAGUAGGCUAAUUAGGUGUUUAAAAAUGUUAUAACUUUUUAGCAUUAUCUUGUCAUGUAGAAACCAGGCCUAACGAUUAAUUUGUUCAUAUCAUUUAGAUUUACAAAAUCAUGCAUGCAUGUGUUACUAAAAUUAGUUAAUAUUUGUCCCUUUUUAAGAUCUCUGCACUCAUGAUGCAAUAUGUCGUUUCUAAAAUAGUAAUAUUAAAUUAGAAUCAUUUCAUGCACUUAACAAAUUACUUAGCUUUUAAAAUAUAUUUCAUAGUAAAACUUUUGCAUUUAAUAAAUUUACCACCUUAAUAUUCUACUAGUUUUUUUUCUUACUUACAAAGUUUUGCAAACAUAAUUUUCUUAAAAGUCAUUAUUCAAUCUUUUUUUAAAACUUUGGAUUGAUUAUGACAUUGUUUAUUUUUGAAAUAAAUUAUAAGCACUAUCUCCUAACCUAUCGUUAGUGGGAAAGUCAAAGGAACUAUGAGGUCUAGUUCCAAUUUUUAAAAUUAAACCGACGCGUCCUUGGAAGUACCACCUACCCAUGAAUUUCAAAAGGAAUUAUGUGUAUUUAUGUGCAUACAUGUAAACUAAAUCUUUUAAAUCAUUUACAAAAACAUAAACUAUUUUUUAGACCGACCUCAAAUCAAAAUUGUUUCUAUGGUGGAGGAGCGCGAUCAACAAUAUCGUGGC